Molecule: microRNA precursor, 122 nt
Filed under: Podarcis lilfordi (Lilford's wall lizard)
Lineage: Eukaryota; Metazoa; Chordata; Lepidosauria; Squamata; Lacertidae
Source: RNAcentral
ACCUCUUCUGAAGGCGGGCGGGGGGCGAAAGUCUUUGCUCCCCCCGCCUUCAAAAGCCCUCCGGGACAGGCAGGCAGGGGGGAGCAAAGACUUUCGCCCCCCCGCCCGCCUUCAGAAGGUCU